UGCCGAAUCUCUCGGAGAGAGCCGCGUAUAUUUGCGUCUUCCCUUUUCGUCCUGUGAAAUGCAGGUCUGGGGAGUUCGUAGGGAGGACGCUGGGACACCCAGAAGCCGGGAGAUGGGGUUGUUGUCAUUCAAGGAUGUGGCCAUAGAAUUCUCUCCAGAGGAGUGGGCAUGCCUAAACUCCCCUCAGCGAAUAUUGUACAGGACUGUGAUGUUAGAGAACCAUAGAAACCUGGUUUUUCUAGGACUUGCUGUCUCUAAGCCAGACCUUAUUAUAUGUCUGGAGCAAAGGAAAGAGCCCUAGAAUGUGAAGAGGCAUGG
Carlito syrichta (Philippine tarsier) is the source of this 318-nucleotide long non-coding RNA. RefSeq lists it as uncharacterized. The transcript is spliced from 3 exons. The record is from RefSeq and is a predicted model, not a curated record. NCBI's taxonomy places the organism in Eukaryota, Metazoa, Chordata, Mammalia, Primates, Tarsiidae.